This 131-nucleotide small nucleolar RNA is filed under the name Castor canadensis (American beaver). The record is from RNAcentral. Lineage: Eukaryota; Metazoa; Chordata; Mammalia; Rodentia; Castoridae.
GUGCACACUUCAUUGUCUUUUUUCUUUAUAUUAAGAGAAAGGAUAUUUCUGGUGUGCUAAACAAACCUUUGGAGGUAAAUUAGCAGCAUGACUUAAUUUUAGCCAUCGCUGUCAGUCACCUUCAAACAAGU